UUCCUCUCGCCUAGCGCUCCGCCGCUGCUGCCUUACGCGGCCCCGCGUCGGGAGAACUGGGAUCGCCCCAAGAGCACCGCGAGGGCCCUGUCCACCCUUCUAAGUGACUCACAUGAAAAUAACUCAAGACCUCACUCCCAGAUGGAAAGAGUGAGGCAAGUCGGGGGGACCUCGGCAGCAGCCGUCAGUGCUGAGGCCCAUGUCAAUCCCAUGGCUCAAGGCCAUUGGAGGACUGCUGAACCCACCAGCUCCCAAGAGCAGAGUCGGUGCUGACCGGACACCACCUGAGGUUCUGGGUCAUAUCAGAAUGUGAGUUGCUAAAAAAAACUGAAGAUGACACGACCUCAAAAUGGCCCUUAAGAAGGUCCCAGAGCUGAAUUGACCCAGACCCCUCAGAAGACAGGGAAGGACCCUGCUAACCACCCAACUUUUAUAGGCUUGUAAGAUCACUGCGACAAUAACUUUCUCACUGAGAUCAUGCACCUUUUCAGUCACAAGGUCAUUUUUAUGUUUCUCUUCUAGGCACACAAAAGUCCUUAGAGAUCUCAUGAAUUAGUGUUUAUCCCAGGAUAUCUGGUUUGGCAUUGUAAAUAAAACAUCCAUCUGCCUAAGUCCAGCCGUCAAAAUUACUUUGACAAUUUACUCCGAGGAAGCAGUAUUAGCAUUUGCUUUCAGAGUUCAUGAUGUGCAAAAGAUUACUUAAAAAUAGGAGGGAACGGAGAAGAGAUAUCGUAGUUUUUUUAUCUUGUUUGUUUUUUAAAAAAAUAUUGCCAUCUCUUAUAUCUUUAGUCACAGUCUCUUCAUGAUUUUUCAAGGCAAUUUCUUUGGGAAGCCAAGUGGCUGAGACAAUUUGAUGAUAACUCAGCCAACCUGCAUCACUACCUAAACAGUUUUUAGGUAUGGAUAAUUUCUGAAGAUGAGUGAACAUGCUUUUCUGCUUUUGAAAAUAAUCCCGAAAACUUGGCUUCAAUUUUUGUCAACAAAGUGAUUGCCCAGAUCUGAAAAUGUUUUUUCACCCUUUUCUACUUUUGAGGUGAGGUGAUGUCCUGUAAGGUCCAGGGAUUUGGGAGGGGCUCAGGAUAGGGCAAUUUUAUAACCUGAUGCCUGGAGGUAGUGCACAGUGCCAUGCAUGGGGAUGUCCCACAAAAGGCAGGGAAGCAGGUGUGGCAGCGGCUAUGUCCUCUUUGGAGCUGAGCCACAGAGGGCAUCAGGAUCAAUGAGCCGAUCUUUAUCAAUCUGUCUGAGUCUUAAAGAACAGCCAAGGACAUGAGAAUCUGGAAAACCAUAACAUAAUCGAAUUGGGGGAGAAUUUGACUCUCCCCCAAUGAAGAAUCCACA
Molecule: long non-coding RNA, 1338 nt
Organism: Nomascus leucogenys (northern white-cheeked gibbon)
Lineage: Eukaryota; Metazoa; Chordata; Mammalia; Primates; Hylobatidae
Exons: 3
Source: RefSeq, a predicted model, not a curated record